Sphaerodactylus townsendi is the source of this 955-nucleotide long non-coding RNA. RefSeq lists it as uncharacterized. The record is from RefSeq and is a predicted model, not a curated record. Lineage: Eukaryota; Metazoa; Chordata; Lepidosauria; Squamata; Sphaerodactylidae. The transcript is spliced from 2 exons.
UGAAUACCUUCUGAGGAACAGAAAGUGAAAACAGGAAAUGAUUACACAAAAGAACUGAGAAGAGCAGAUUUUGAAGGUACAACAGUAUGGCUCUACAGUCCGUGAAAGAAGAAGAAAAUCCUGAUAUGCUACAGAUGGUCACCCUGUGGUGCUGGCUGAGAAUCAACAAUGCCCUCACAAACCUCUUGCCAAUCCCAAAUCUGAAUCUAGUCAAAAAUUGUUAGUGUCAGGUACAUACACAUUUAAUGGUGGGCAGUAUUUUUCAGUUCAGAAUUUAUAAUGUGAACAUUCCUGAAACAAAUACCUGGUAUAAAAAUGGUGAAUAUAUGAAUGCGUUCAUGUAGUUUUUAGGUUGAGGGUAUUAAAAAAAUUAGUUAGAAAUAAUAUGAACUGUUUUUGUUUUUUUAUUCCUUAUGAAUGAACAAUAUUACAGCAAAUACUUAAAACAAAUUGGUAGCAAGCAUAGAAAACAGAAAUAUUCACAGCUAGAAAAUCAAGAAGGAGGUGGGUGCAUGUAAGCUAAUUUGAUAAUCGGAUACAUGUUUUGUAACUGAUAUUUUUAAAGAAAAUAAUGAUAGUAAUAAUGAUAGUAAUUAUAGAUCAUUGUUUUCAUAAUACAUAUUAUUCAUUAGAAUUUGCUUAUUUUUUAAAAAUGUAAAACAUGUUGAUUAUCUUACUACAAAAUAUUAUUAGUAUAAUCAUGCUUAGUGUCUAGAAUUGUAUUCAAGAAAAGAUCCUUCUUCUCUGUUGUUUUUAUUGUUGUUCUUUUCUCUUUCUGUUAAUAUUUUAAAAAUUGAAGAGAAAAAAAGAAAAAAGGAGAAAAAAAGAAUGAAAUGUAGGAAACCUCUUGGUGGAAGUAGAAAGUGCUGUCCUUUCAAAAAAAACCCGAAUGUAUUAAAUAAAUUGGAGUCCUCGUAGGCAAUGUUUUUAUUUAAUAAAUUUGGAUUAACAGGUU